RNAcentral lists this transfer RNA (28 nucleotides) under Ciconia nigra (black stork). Its description in RNAcentral is "partial tRNA-Leu". Lineage: Eukaryota; Metazoa; Chordata; Aves; Ciconiiformes; Ciconiidae. The record is from RNAcentral.
GCUAGCGUGGCAGACCAGCUAAAUGCAA